Molecule: ribosomal RNA, 433 nt
Filed under: uncultured bacterium
Lineage: Bacteria
Description: bacterial SSU rRNA
Rfam family: Bacterial small subunit ribosomal RNA
Source: RNAcentral
AACGGACGCUGGCGGCAGGCCUAACACAUGCAAGUCGAACGCUUCAGCAAUGAAGAGUGGCAGACGGGUGAGUAACUCGUGGGAACCUUCCCAGUGGUACGGAAUAGCCCAGGGAAACUUGGGGUGAUACCGUAUAAGCCCUUCGGGGGAAAGAUUUAUCGCCAUUGGAUGGGCCCGCGUCGGAUUAGCUUGUUGGUGAGGUAAAAGCUCACCAAGGCGACGAUCCGUAGCUGGUCUGAGAGGAUGAUCAGCCACACUGGGACUGAGACACGGCCCAGACUCCUACGGGAGGCAGCAGUGGGGAAUAUUGGACAAUGGGCGCAAGCCUGAUCCAGCCAUGCCGCGUGAGUGACGAAGGCCUUAGGGUUGUAAAGCUCUUUUGGCGGGGACGAUAAUGACGGUACCCGCAGAAUAAGCUCCGGCUAACUUCGUG